GUGCUCGCUUCGGCAGCACAUAGACUAAAAUUGGAACGAUACAGAGAAGAUUAGCAUGGCUCCUGCGCAAGGAUGGCACACAAAUUCGUGAAGCGUUCCAUAUUUUU
Molecule: small nuclear RNA, 107 nt
Filed under: Echinops telfairi (small Madagascar hedgehog)
Lineage: Eukaryota; Metazoa; Chordata; Mammalia; Afrosoricida; Tenrecidae
Source: RNAcentral